Cyanistes caeruleus (blue tit) is the source of this 550-nucleotide non-coding RNA. NCBI's taxonomy places the organism in Eukaryota, Metazoa, Chordata, Aves, Passeriformes, Paridae. The record is from RefSeq and is a predicted model, not a curated record.
GGGAAAAUCAGAAAUAUUAGAAAUAAUAAAAAGUAUUAUUAUUCAGGGAAAUAAUGAUCAUGAUAAGAAUAAUUCCUAUUUUAGUCUGCUCCUUGUGCAGCCAGCACAGGGGACAGCCCAGGAGUGGAUCCCUACACACACCCCCACCCCUUACAGACAUUUAAUCCUGAGCAAAAGAAAUUAGGAUUAAAAAUUCCCCAUCCACACAAACAAACAAACAAACAACCAACCAGAGGAGGCAGCCCCUGUGUUUUCCAGUCCCCCCAGCUGGCAGGAGUUACCUGCACCCUCCUCUGCUCAGCCCCCAGCAGGAGGGAGGAAUAUGAAGGUGCCAGACUUUGAGUUAAAUCCCUAAAACGCCAGAGUGUGGGAGUGAUUAUGAAUGGCAAGCAGAAAAUUAGAAGUAAGUAACAUUUCUUAGGGUGAAUUAUGAAAAGGAUCCUGUGAUGUGCUGGUGCAGCAGCUUGAGGCUGCAUUUUCUCCUUCCUCCACAGCCCAGUUCUCCCAGUUUGCUCCCAGUUUGCUCCCAGUUUGUUCCCAGUUUGCUGCC